GACGAACGCUGGCGGCGUGCCUAAUACAUGCAAGUCGAGCGGACAGAAGGGAGCUUGCUCCCGGAUGUUAGCGGCGGACGGGUGAGUAACACGUGGGUAACCUGCCUGUAAGACUGGGAUAACUCCGGGAAACCGGAGCUAAUACCGGAUAGUUCCUUGAACCGCAUGGUUCAAGGAUGAAAGACGGUUUCGGCUGUCACUUACAGAUGGACCCGCGGCGCAUUAGCUAGUUGGUGAGGUAACGGCUCACCAAGGCGACGAUGCGUAGCCGACCUGAGAGGGUGAUCGGCCACACUGGGACUGAGACACGGCCCAGACUCCUACGGGAGGCAGCAGUAGGGAAUCUUCCGCAAUGGACGAAAGUCUGACGGAGCAACGCCGCGUGAGUGAUGAAGGUUUUCGGAUCGUAAAGCUCUGUUGUUAGGGAAGAACAAGUGCAAGAGUAACUGCUUGCACCUUGACGGUACCUAACCAGAAAGCCACGGCUAACUACGUG
Molecule: ribosomal RNA, 496 nt
Filed under: Bacillus sp. (in: firmicutes)
Lineage: Bacteria; Bacillati; Bacillota; Bacilli; Caryophanales; Bacillaceae
Description: bacterial SSU rRNA
Rfam family: Bacterial small subunit ribosomal RNA
Source: RNAcentral